Molecule: transfer RNA, 93 nt
Filed under: Oceanidesulfovibrio indonesiensis
Lineage: Bacteria; Pseudomonadati; Thermodesulfobacteriota; Desulfovibrionia; Desulfovibrionales; Desulfovibrionaceae
Also listed under: 2 other names
Description: Desulfovibrio indonesiensis tRNA-Ser
Rfam family: tRNA
About the family: Transfer RNA (tRNA) molecules are approximately 80 nucleotides in length. Their secondary structure includes four short double-helical elements and three loops (D, anti-codon, and T loops).
Source: RNAcentral
GGAGAGGUGUCCGAGUCGGCCGAAGGAGCUCGCCUGCUAAGCGAGUAUACGGAUAACCCCGUAUCGAGGGUUCAAAUCCCUCCCUCUCCGCCA